CAGUAGCCGCGGGAAUACGGAGGAUCCAAGCGUUAUCCGGAAUCAUUGGGUUUAAAGGGUCCGUAGGCGGUCUUGUAAGUCAGUGGUGAAAGCCCAUCGCUCAACGGUGGAACGGCCAUUGAUACUGCAGGACUUGAAUUAUUGGGAAGUAACUAGAAUAUGUAGUGUAGCGGUGAAAUGCUUAGAGAUUACAUGGAAUACCAAUUGCGAAGGCAGGUUACUACCAAUUGAUUGACGCUGAUGGACGAAAGCGUGGGUAGCGAACAGGAUUAGAUACCCCGGUGUCCCUGUCUCUUAUACA
This 301-nucleotide ribosomal RNA is filed under the name uncultured bacterium. RNAcentral's name for it is "partial 16S ribosomal RNA". It matches the Rfam family "Bacterial small subunit ribosomal RNA", at positions 509 to 808 of the family's 1533-position model. The record is from RNAcentral.